GAGACAGCAGUAGCCGCGGUAAUACGUAGGGUGCAAGCGUUAAUCGGAAUUACUGGGCGUAAAGCGUGCGCAGGCGGUUAUAUAAGACAGAUGUGAAAUCCCCGGGCUCAACCUGGGAACUGCAUUUGUGACUGUAUAGCUAGAGUACGGCAGAGGGGGAUGGAAUUCUGCGUGUAGCAGUGAAAUGCGUAGAUAUGCGGAGGAACACCGAUGGCGAAGGCAAUCCCCUGGGCCUGUACUGACGCUCAUGCACGAAAGCGUGGGGAGCAAACAGGAUUAGAUACCCCUGUAGUCCCUGUCUCUUAUAC
Molecule: ribosomal RNA, 308 nt
Filed under: uncultured bacterium
Lineage: Bacteria
Description: partial 16S ribosomal RNA
Rfam family: Bacterial small subunit ribosomal RNA
Source: RNAcentral